Manis pentadactyla (Chinese pangolin) is the source of this 718-nucleotide long non-coding RNA. RefSeq lists it as uncharacterized. The transcript has 4 exons. NCBI's taxonomy places the organism in Eukaryota, Metazoa, Chordata, Mammalia, Pholidota, Manidae. The record is from RefSeq and is a predicted model, not a curated record.
CUCUUCCCUGUGGGCCUAUAUAAAAAUACCUCCUGUUCAUCAAGUUCUACCUACAUGAAGCCUUCUUGCUUUCCUCCCUUUGGAAGAAAUAAAUUCUUCCUGGAAAUGUGUUGAGAUGCUCAGAGUCUCGAUUAGAAGCAAGGAUUUGGACCCGCAGGGGAGAAAUUGAGUGACCGAAGAAGUGAGGGUGCUGUGUGAAGCACAGGGCCCUGGAAUCCACUCCUUGAAGCUGCUAAAGUCGGUCUGCAUUCAUCUCCUCAAGAUUUAGGACCUUCUUGGGCCGGUAUUUUGAUGCAAGUCUUCAGCAAUUGAUUGUUUUCCCCAGCUUGGAGUUAUUGGCUAAUUUGGAAAGGCGGCCUUCUAGGUCUUUCUUCAAGCUGCUGGGUCUCACCAGGCUGCAAUCCAGAUGUUGACUGGGACUAUGGCCUCACCUGAUGUUCAGAGUCCACUUCUAAGCUCAGCCAGUUGUUGGAGGAAUUCAGUUUCUCAUGGAUGCUGGACUGAGGUCCCUUGGCUCCUGGAGUCCACCUAGCUCCCAGCCAGAAGGUCCUCUCCACAGUCCCUCUCACAAGAUGCAGCUUCCUUUUUUGAGCCAGCAAGGAAGAGAAGUCUUUGGUGGUUUGAGGGCCCAGUCUCUAAUUUUAGGACUUUCUUCUGAUUAAGUCAGGCUCACCCACAAUAAUCUCUUUUUGACUGAAUAAAAUUAAUGUAUUUGGUG